AACGAACGCUGGCGGCAUGCCUAACACAUGCAAGUCGAACGAGACCUUCGGGUCCAGUGGCCCACGGGUGCGUAACGCGUGGGAACCUGCCCUUAGGUUCAGCAUAACUCCCCGAAAGGGGUGCUAAUACCGGAUAAUGUCUGCGGACCAAAGAUUUAUCGCCUUUGGGUGUGCCCGCGUUGGAUUAGCUAGUUGGUAGGGUAAAAGCCUACCAAGGCGACGAUCCAUAGCUGGUCUGAGAGGAUGAUCAGCCACACUGGGACUGAGACACGGCCCAGAAUCCUACGGGAGGCAGCAGUGGGGAAUAUUGGACAAUGGGCGAAAGCAUGAUCCAGCAAUGCCGCGUGAGUGAUGAAGGCAUUAGGGUUGUAAAGCUCUUUUACCCGGGAUGAUAAUGACAGUACCGGGAGAAUAAGCUCCGGCUAACUCCGUG
Molecule: ribosomal RNA, 433 nt
Filed under: uncultured bacterium
Lineage: Bacteria
Description: partial 16S ribosomal RNA
Rfam family: Bacterial small subunit ribosomal RNA
Source: RNAcentral